This 73-nucleotide transfer RNA is filed under the name Ailuropoda melanoleuca (giant panda). It matches the Rfam family "tRNA". Rfam says of the family: Transfer RNA (tRNA) molecules are approximately 80 nucleotides in length. Their secondary structure includes four short double-helical elements and three loops (D, anti-codon, and T loops). Lineage: Eukaryota; Metazoa; Chordata; Mammalia; Carnivora; Ursidae. The record is from Rfam by way of RNAcentral.
ACCUGGCUGGCUCAGUUGGUAGAGCAUGUGACUCUGGAUCUUAAGGUCAUGAGUUCAAGCCCCACGUUGGGCA